GAUGAAGAACGCAGCGAAAUGCGAUAAGUAAUGUGAAUUGCAGAAUUCAGUGAAUCAUCGAAUCUUUGAACGCACCUUGCGCCCUUUGGCCAUUCCGAAGGGCAUGCCUGUUUGAGUAUCAUGAACACCGCAACUCUUUAUGGUUUUCCAUGAUGAGCUUGGACUCUGGGGGUUUUGCUGGCUCACAGUCGGCUCCUCUAAAAUGAAUCAGCUUACCAGUGUUUGGUGGGUAUCAUGGGUGUGAUAACUAUCUACGCUUGUGGUUUUUCCACCAGGUAACCUUCAGCAGUGGAGGUUCGCUGGAGCUCAUAGAUGUCUCUCCUCAGUGAGGACAGCCCUUUGAAUGUUUGAUCUCAAAUCAGGUAGGACUACCCGCUGAACUUAAGCAUAUCAAUAAGCGGAGGA
RNAcentral lists this unclassified non-coding RNA (405 nucleotides) under soil metagenome. RNAcentral's name for it is "partial contains 5.8S ribosomal RNA, internal transcribed spacer 2, and large subunit ribosomal RNA". The stretch from base 1 to 121 matches the Rfam family "5.8S ribosomal RNA", at positions 35 to 154 of the family's 154-position model. The record is from RNAcentral.